Molecule: long non-coding RNA, 594 nt
Organism: Cucurbita moschata (crookneck pumpkin)
Lineage: Eukaryota; Viridiplantae; Streptophyta; Magnoliopsida; Cucurbitales; Cucurbitaceae
Exons: 3
Source: RefSeq, a predicted model, not a curated record
ACUAAAGCACCCUCAAUCUUAGGUCUCCUACUAGAACUACUCAGAGUUUCAAGAGAAGUGGUCUGAAUGUUGGAUCGUUCGUUUUCGGUAAGAAACGAGCAAGAACGUGAGAUGAGGAAUCUUGCAAGUCUUCAGAGGAAACGCGGCAAAAAAUCCCGUUGAAAAACAAAUCGAGAAACCAUCCUACUUCAAAAUGAGAGGAAGAAGACGAACGGCAGAGGGACGCGUGUCAAGAAGGGAGAGGGCCGUGAGUCGUCGGGAAAAUGGGACAUGUGUCUGGCGUGGAAUGGCGGAGGAAAAUCAUGAAAAAUACUGCGUCAAGUAGGGUCUUAAUUAGCCGAAAAAUAAGCUUCGAAGGGCACGCUUCAUUCCUGUAAGUAACCAUACGGAUUUAGGAAGUAAUACUUGUAGGGCGCGCUUGGUUUUGCAUGCAUGCUAGAGCAAAUUACCGUAGGUAGCUAGUUCUAAUGAUCCUAUAUACUUAGGGAAUUAAAUAUAUAUCGGUUGGACUUGCUGUCCUAGUGAGAUUUUGUACUGGUUAUUUGUAUGCUUGCUGGACUAUCUUACUAUUGCUUUUAUCUGUUCAUACUAUGU